Molecule: long non-coding RNA, 277 nt
Filed under: Manihot esculenta (cassava)
Lineage: Eukaryota; Viridiplantae; Streptophyta; Magnoliopsida; Malpighiales; Euphorbiaceae
Description: long non-coding RNA (MESC_LNC012408)
Source: RNAcentral
AAAUAAACUGAAACAAUAAUAAAUUAAAAAUGAGAUAAAAGACUGAAAGUGGGAUCAAAUGAGAUAAACUGAAAAUUGAGAUCAAAACUGUCAACAAAAUAACAGGGGGGUUUGAGAUUGAUUGUAGUAAACUAAUAAUGAGAAUAAUAAUGGAAAGCAAAUAAUUAAAUAAAAAGUAAUCAAUAAUGAGAAAGCUCUAGUUGAAGUAUUGGAUCCACUUUAGUUAUUGGGAUUGAUCACAGACACUUUGUUCUUUUGGGUUGAUUCAAUAGAUUAG